RNAcentral lists this ribosomal RNA (250 nucleotides) under uncultured bacterium. RNAcentral's name for it is "partial 16S ribosomal RNA". It matches the Rfam family "Bacterial small subunit ribosomal RNA", at positions 524 to 772 of the family's 1533-position model. The record is from RNAcentral.
UACGUGGGUCACAAGCAUUAUCCGGUUUUACUGGGCGUAAAGAGACGCGUAGGCGUCUUGACAAGUUUGAUGUUAAAUCUCUCCGCUUAACGGGGAAAUCGCAUUGAAAACUGUUGAGAUUGAGUCAAGUAGAGAAGAGGGGAAUUCCUGGUGGAGCGGUUAAAUGCGUUGAUAUCAGGAGGAACACCAAUUGCGAAGGCACCUCUUUGGACUUGUACUGACGCUAAGGCUCGAAAGCGUGGGGAGCAAA